This 488-nucleotide ribosomal RNA is filed under the name Neopestalotiopsis clavispora. RNAcentral's name for it is "eukaryotic LSU rRNA". The stretch from base 128 to 281 matches the Rfam family "5.8S ribosomal RNA". The record is from RNAcentral. Lineage: Eukaryota; Fungi; Ascomycota; Sordariomycetes; Amphisphaeriales; Sporocadaceae.
AGUAUCACCCAUGUGACUUACCUUUUGUGGCCUCAGCAGAAGUAUAGGCCUUCUUAUACCUGCUGCCGGCGGACCAUUAACCUCUUGAUAUUUUAUGUAAUCUGAGCGUCUUAUUUUAAUAAGUCAAAACUUUCAACAACGGAUCUCUUGGAUCUGGCAUCGAUGAAGAACGCAGCGAAAUGCCAUAAGUAAUGGGAAUUGAAGAAUUCAGUGAAUCAUCGAAUCUUUGAACGCACAUUGCGCCCAUUAAUAUUCUAGAGGGCAUGCCUGGUCGAGCGUCAUUUCAACCCUUAAGCCUAGCUUAAUGUUGGGAAUCUACUUCUCUUAGGAGGACUUAUCCUGAAAUACAACGGCGGAUUUGUAAAAUCCUCUGAGCGUAUGAAUUUUUUUCUCGCUUUUGUUAAGUGCUAUAACUCCCAGCCGCUAAACCCCCAAUUUUUUGUGGUUGACCUCGGAUCAUGUAGGAAUACCCGCUGAACUUAAGCAUA